AGUGAACGCUGGCGGUAGGCCUAACACAUGCAAGUCGAACGGCAGCACAGUAAGAGCUUGCUCUUACGGGUGGCGAGUGGCGGACGGGUGAGGAAUACAUCGGAAUCUACUUUUUCGUGGGGGAUAACGUAGGGAAACUUACGCUAAUACCGCAUACGACCUACGGGUGAAGGCAGGGGAUCUUCGGACCUUGCGCGAUUGAAUGAGCCGAUGUCGGAUUAGCUAGUUGGCGGGGUAAAGGCCAACCAAGGCGACGAUCCGUAGCUGGUCUGAGAGGAUGAUCAGCCACACUGGAACUGAGACACGGUCCAGACUCCUACGGGAGGCAGCAGUGGGGAAUAUUGGACAAUGGGCGCAAGCCUGAUCCAGCCAUACCGCGUGGGUGAAGAAGGCCUUCGGGUUGUAAAGCCCUUUUGUUGGGAAAGAAAAGCAGCAGGUUAAUACCCCGCUGUUCUGACGGUACCCAAAGAAUAAGCACCGGCUAACUUCGUG
This 492-nucleotide ribosomal RNA is filed under the name uncultured bacterium. Its description in RNAcentral is "partial 16S ribosomal RNA". It matches the Rfam family "Bacterial small subunit ribosomal RNA", at positions 29 to 507 of the family's 1533-position model. The record is from RNAcentral.